AUGAGGUUCAGGUUCCUGCUGUUGAUCAACCGUUGCUUCGGUCGAGUGCGAACCCGGAUAAGUUGCUGCUCCAAACCAGACAAUUUGGAGGAUGAACGCGAGUCUCCCAGCGAUGCCAUGGAAGAAGAAAGUAUUCGCUCCAGACGUAGAUGUCUAGCUUGCCUGUGUGCUGUAACAUUAAUCAGUGCAUCGGGCCCAAAGUUUUCUAUCAUUGGAACCUUGAUGAUUUAUCUCAUUUGA
RNAcentral lists this ribosomal RNA (240 nucleotides) under Triticum aestivum (bread wheat). RNAcentral's name for it is "partial small subunit ribosomal RNA". The record is from RNAcentral. Lineage: Eukaryota; Viridiplantae; Streptophyta; Magnoliopsida; Poales; Poaceae.